Molecule: ribosomal RNA, 1530 nt
Filed under: Triticum aestivum (bread wheat)
Lineage: Eukaryota; Viridiplantae; Streptophyta; Magnoliopsida; Poales; Poaceae
Description: partial small subunit ribosomal RNA
Source: RNAcentral
AUGAGGCCUCUGCGCGCCGUCGCUCUGCUCCUCGUCGCGGCGGCAGCAGCCGCGGCCGCCGCGACGCCGUGGGCGGGGAGCGGCCAGGAGUCCGGCUCCAUCAGCAAAGACGACUUCCCUGGGGACUUCAGCUUCGGGGCUAGCACAUCAGCUUAUCAGUGGGAAGGCGCGGCGGCGGAGGACGGCCGGACCCCCAGCGUGUGGGACACCUUCGCUCACGCUCACGCCCACGCCCACGCCGGUGAUGACUCUGUAAAUGGUGAUGUGGCAGCUGACGGCUACCAUAAGUACAAGGAGGAUAUCAAAUUAAUGAAGGAGACCGGACUGGAUUCUUAUAGAUUCUCUAUCUCUUGGUCAAGGCUUAUUCCUAAAGGAAGAGGAGAAAUCAAUCCAAAAGGAGUAGGAUACUACAAUAAUCUCAUCAAUGAACUACUUGAUCAUGGAAUUCAACCACAUGCAACGAUUUUCCAGUAUGAUCUUCCUCAAAUCCUUGAAGAUGAAUAUGGUGGAUGGUUGAGUCCCCAAAUAAUUGGUGAUUUCACAGCAUACGCAGAUGUGUGCUUUAGGGAAUUUGGGGAUAGAGUUACCAAUUGGACUACUCUAAAUGAACCUAACGCUUUAGUUUCGGUUGGCUAUGAUGCUGGUAUUGGGCCACCGGGGAGAUGUUCUAAACCAUUUGGAUUUGCUGACUGUUCCUGUGGGGACUCUGUAAACGAGCCAUACGUUGUAGCUCAUAAUUGCUUAUUGGCUCAUACCUCAGCUGUGUCACUAUACAGAAGAAAGUAUCAGACAAAGCAACACGGACUUAUUGGCAUGAAUAUAUGUAUAAAUAACAUAGUACCUUAUACAAAUUCAACGGAAGAUAUAGCUGCAGCGAAAAGAGCACAAGCCUUCUACACAGGCUGGUUCUUGGAUCCUCUCUAUUAUGGAGACUACCCACUUGUGAUGAAGGAGAAUACUGGCUCCAAGUUGCCAAAAUUUUCUCAAAGCCAGUCUAAACAACUAAUCAAUUCUAUGGACUUUCUUGGCAUCAAUUACUACACAUUUUUGUACGUGAAGGAUGACCCGCAUCAUGCUCCUAGCAACAAAAGGAAUUUCAGGGCUGAUAUGGCUGCUAAAUCAAUAUUUUCAAGCAAUUCUACCAGUGGAUUCUAUGUGCCAGGUUAUGGGAUACAGCAAGUGCUUGAACAUUUGAAGCAAUUUUAUGGUAAUCCUCCAAUCUAUAUCCAUGAGAAUGGAUAUCCAAUGCAUCAAGAUGUAGUAUUUGAUGAUGGCCCUAGGGUGGAAUUCUUGAGUGAACAUCUUAAGAACCUUCUCACUGCUGUCAGGAAUGGUUCGAAUACUAGGGGCUACUUUGCCUGGUCGCUGAUGGAUUUAUAUGAACUACUUAGUGUCGGGGACACGUAUGGACUCUAUUACGUGGAUUUUGCUGAUGAUGAUCUCAAGAGGUAUCCAAGGAGCUCUGCGAUUUGGUACAAGGAUUUUCUCAAGGGGAGGCACACGGAGACGGGGAGAUUCUCCGAUCACUAG